RNAcentral lists this ribosomal RNA (297 nucleotides) under uncultured soil bacterium. Its description in RNAcentral is "partial 16S ribosomal RNA". It matches the Rfam family "Bacterial small subunit ribosomal RNA", at positions 26 to 325 of the family's 1533-position model. The record is from RNAcentral.
AGAUUGAACGCUGGCGGCAGGCCUAACACAUGCAAGUCGAGCGGUAGAGAGGUGCUUGCAUCUCUUGAGAGCGGCGGACGGGUGAGUAAUGCCUAGGAAUCUGCCUAGUGGUAGGGGAUAACGUUCGGAAACGGACGCUAAUACCGCAUACGUCCUACGGGAGAAAGCGGGGGACCUUCGGGCCUCGCGCCAUUAGAUGAGCCUAGGUCGGAUUAGCUAGUUGGUGAGGUAAUGGCUCACCAAGGCGACGAUCCGUAACUGGUCUGAGAGGAUGAUCAGUCACACUGGAACUGAGAC